Long non-coding RNA from Entelurus aequoreus (snake pipefish), 356 nucleotides. RefSeq lists it as uncharacterized. The record is from RefSeq and is a predicted model, not a curated record. NCBI's taxonomy places the organism in Eukaryota, Metazoa, Chordata, Actinopteri, Syngnathiformes, Syngnathidae. The transcript is spliced from 3 exons.
GCUCAUGUCAGCCGCCUGCUGCCUGCAGACGAUCACAAAUCAGCGCACCUGGACCUGAUGAGAGGGAGCUGUAUAAAGGACCAGUGGACCCAAGGAUCCAUGCGGGAACUUAGUUCUCUAUUGUGUACCUGCUUUCCCGAGUUUCCCCGUCGUGAUCUCCUGUCGUUCCCCUCUGGAUUCUGACUGCCUCCCUCGUUCCUCGACCCCUGCUUGGACACGGACUAUGCUGCCUCGCCCCUAUCCUCGACCCUCGCCUGGACACGGACCUUGCCGCUUCUCUCGCUCUCUCGCUCCUCAACACUCGGUAAUACACAACAAUUAAUUACACACAGUCAUACACCACACACUCUUGAAUU